Molecule: ribosomal RNA, 242 nt
Filed under: uncultured bacterium
Lineage: Bacteria
Description: partial small subunit ribosomal RNA
Rfam family: Bacterial small subunit ribosomal RNA
Source: RNAcentral
AGAAUCAACGCUGGCGGCGUGCCUAACACAUGCAAGUCGAACGGGAAAGUGGAGCAAUCCAUGAGUAUAGUGGCGACCGGGUGAGUAACACGUGACUACCUACCCUUGAGUGGGGGAUAACCUCGGGAAACCGAGGCUAAUACCGCAUAAUAUCGAAAGAUCAAAGGAGUAAUCCGCUUUUGAGGGGUCGCGGCUGAUUAGCUAGUUGGUAAGGUAAUGGCUUACCAAGGCGAAGAUCGGUA